Molecule: ribosomal RNA, 254 nt
Filed under: uncultured bacterium
Lineage: Bacteria
Description: partial 16S ribosomal RNA
Rfam family: Bacterial small subunit ribosomal RNA
Source: RNAcentral
GACGUAGGGCGCAAGCGUUUGUCCGGAUUUAUUGGGCGUAAAGAGCUCGUAGGCGGCUUGUCGCGUCUGCCGUGAAAGUCCGGGGCUCAACUCCGGAUCUGCGGUGGGUACGGGCAGACUAGAGUGAUGUAGGGGAGACUGGAAUUCCUGGUGUAGCGGUGAAAUGCGCAGAUAUCAGGAGGAACACCGAUGGCGAAGGCAGGUCUCUGGGCAUUAACUGACGCUGAGGAGCGAAAGCAUGGGGAGCGAACAGG